RNAcentral lists this transfer RNA (130 nucleotides) under [Leptolyngbya] sp. PCC 7376. Its description in RNAcentral is "tRNA-Und (NNN) (tRNA-Und-NNN-4-1)". It matches the Rfam family "tRNA". Rfam says of the family: Transfer RNA (tRNA) molecules are approximately 80 nucleotides in length. Lineage: Bacteria; Bacillati; Cyanobacteriota; Cyanophyceae; Chroococcales; Geminocystaceae. The record is from RNAcentral.
GUAGCAGAAGGUCAAAUUGGUGAGGCGCCAGCUUAAAUAACCUUGUUCAACUCACUUACCCAAUCUGGGUCGAAGAAUGAGGAUUAUCGAAGGGAGCUGGAAUUGGAGGUUCGAUUCCUCCUCUGCUACG